CUCCCACUAAAUGCUUCAUGCAGAACGGAGAGAAAGAAACCCAUCAAGAUUUCGCUGCCAGCUGUGCUUUCUGUCUCCGACAAUUUCAUUUAAUUGAACCACGAUAAGCCCAAGCUUUUCAGCUCUAUAACUAUCACCCUUGCAUAAACCCUUAUCUCCUACCCAUUAUGUCGCUGCAAUCGUGGCUAUCUCUGGCUACAGUCAUUCAACCGUUCUGGCAAAAGGCAAACGUCUUCAGACCUUAUCUCCUACCCAUUUUGUGAGUGAAGAUUGUUUUUUGUUUCACAUCCUUUGCACAUUUGUUGUAAAGGUAUGUUUUUUGGGUUUUUAUACAAAUUUAAUGUUCUUCAGAGAAAUUAGUAAUUACAUAGAUAUAUAGUUACCAAAUAAAUUUCAUCAAUUUUAUGGAAUGGAAAGAACACCAUCUUGGAGAAGUUGAGAGAAAAACACGUCAAAAUUGGGUGUAGCCCUUUCCCAAAUAAAAAUGCUCAUGUUCCCCAAAUGAAACCACAGCGUGAUUUGGUAUGCAUUGAUGGCAUUUUAUUUAUUUAGUGGAGGAUAGGUAAAAAAUUUGAAACCUGUUGAUUUGCAGCCUGAAGUGGGCAAGCUAUUAGCUAUAUAUCUGCAAUUCAUUCUACUCACCAAAUUCGACUAUAAGAUUUUAUUUUGGACCAUGGAAAUUUUGUUUGACGUUUUUCAGUUGCUCUUCUGGCUCUAGAUUUUGGAACAAGUGGAGGCUAGUAAGUCAAAAUUUAUUUCCAUUGUGGAAGCAUCUAUAUUUUUUGUACAAUUACACAGUAUGAUACAGAAUUAUAGUAGAAUUUAUUUGUUGGAUUUCUAUACUGGUAUAGAAAAUUGCUUCAGUUUUUAUGGAGCAAUCUGUGUUCUCCCAGCAUCAAUAGCAAUACGUGUUGGUAAGUUUAGUGAUUUUGCGUUUGCCUAUUCAAAUAAGAAGAAAUUACAAUACAUCAUACAGUAAGGAAAACUCUAAAUACGGGUUCAGUUGAUUAGUCCUUUACUUCCUUGAUAAGUCAUGCAAUAAUAAUUUUCAACUUCUCUAAUUAUUGUUUGCCAUGUAGGAAUGAGAGGGAGGAAUUAUGGUGUUCGUCACAGUUGUAGAAGCAGGAUCACUACUUCGGAGAUUGCAAGAGAAAAGUUCGCUGUCCACGGGAUGUAGGUGAAAUUCAGAAAUGUUUUGAGGUUGAAAAAAAAAAGGCAAUAACAAAGGCCGACUAUUCAAAACUUGCAGCAACUCUUGCGAAUUUUUUGACUAGGUAAGAACAGAAAAAUCAAGCGAAGAGUCGAUAGCAUUAAUGAAGUGAUGAAUCCUAUUACCAAUGAGGAAGUCGAUAAUUUUCCAAGAAUGUUCGAACGUCUAGCCGAAUUGUUAAGAAAUGAAACGUCGAGAUUUUGUUGAACAUGACAUUCUACAAAGGAAAAGAGCCCUCAAAGGAUAAUGGAAAAGGAAAGGGCCAAGAAUAAUUAUUAGUUAUAUUCAUUCUUGCACUCUAGUUUUGUUGUUGGGUUUGUAAUGUCAUGAGAGGGUGGAAAAAAAUAGAAGAACCCUACAAUUUUCAUUUUCAAUGAUUGCCAUGAGGGGCCUCUUUUUUAUUUGUAUCAUAUCAUGUGGACCGCUUUUGAUGUCAACUCGGCCACCUUGGUUCUCUUUAUGUACAAUUUUUCAUAAAUGAAGAACGCAA
This 1700-nucleotide long non-coding RNA is filed under the name Olea europaea subsp. europaea. Lineage: Eukaryota; Viridiplantae; Streptophyta; Magnoliopsida; Lamiales; Oleaceae. The record is from RNAcentral.